CCAGAAUUCACGCUUUGGCCAUGUUGUCUUCCAGCCACGUUCCUUCCUAGCAAGUGCCAACUGCUCGAGGUUCCGAGGGUUCCUGUUAGUGAAAUCUGGGGAAACAACCUCAUUCUCCCUUGUGUCUAUGUCACUCACAGAUUUGAGGCCAGCUGUAGCUGACGAAUAACGGAAACCCGCUCCACACGCCUGGAGCCGGCCAGCCGCCAGCAACAUGCAGCCGCGACCGCCCAGCGCCAUGAAUAGCCAGCGCCCGCCACGACCUCAGGCGACAGUCACCUCCCGGGCGCUCAGAGAACCCUGGGCGCCGCCAUCUUGGGUGAGCCCGGCACUUCCCUCCGGAAGCCGGAGAGCACUUCCGCCCAGAGGGUUCUGUCACGUGAUGGCAGUGGGCGGGCUGCUGCGCGCGCACACAGCACGGAUUUUCCGGGUGGAAAGCGUGUAGUCUGCACGCUAACGGAGACAGGCCCAGGAGGUGUGGUGGCUUUGAGUAGUGGCCUCUCGUGGCCUUUCUCUAUGGCUAGAAAAGAAAGCAGGACUUGAGACAAUACAAAUCUUGGUUUUGCGACCAGGAGAAUAAUGAAUUCCAUUAAAAAGCGAAGUAACGCGUAAUGCCAUAGGCAAAAGUGCAGAAAUGCCACGCCACAAGACUGGCGUUAGAUUUGGGCCCCUUUUCCAGCCACAGUCCAGGGAAGAGCACCGCGGUGCGCCCACAGAGCCGUUCCCAGCUCUAGCAAGCUCCGCCCGAGCCACUGAUCCCCCGCCAACGACACCGCUACAUCAGCC
Molecule: long non-coding RNA, 786 nt
Filed under: Gallus gallus (chicken)
Lineage: Eukaryota; Metazoa; Chordata; Aves; Galliformes; Phasianidae
Source: RNAcentral